UUUUUGAGAGAGUUUUCUAAAGCAUAAUAAAGAGAGCAAUUCUCUAUAACAUCUUAAGUUCUUUUACAAUCUUACAAACUAGAAUGUCUUCAGCGACAUUGAAGGUAACAAGAUCAACCCAAACAAGAAAGAAAUAACAUGUUUUUGAUUGUAUUUAAACGGAGUUGAUUUAUGAUUAAUGAGUGGCAAUCUUCAAGGAUAUAUGGAAUCUUGGGACUUUUGGAUCUACUUUUGUAAAAAUCAAUGCCUUCAACUAUCUUUUUCCCCAUGUAGCAUUGUAGUUUUAGUAAAUUAUUAAGGCAUACACCCAAUCCAAUUUCAGAAAUAUACCCGAUAAUUAUAAGUGCAAAAAUAGCAAAUGCGUCAAAAAAGAAGAAAAGAGAACAAAAAUAAAAAAGAGAGGAAAAAGAGAAUCUUAUGUUAAAGAAGUCUCGUCCUCCUCCAUAGAUAUAUGAUAUAUCAAUGUAAGUUUAGACCCAAAGGACAUCUUUCUAGUUUUACUUUCUUUCUUUUCAAUGUACGUUUUCAAUUUUCAUAGUAGUAGUAGCUCACGUUCUUCCACAUGCCCUCAAAUCAUAACAAUUAAGAGAAAUGAAAAAAGGAAAAUUAAUAUUUUGUAGGAGGGAAUGAAGAAAUGGAGA
RNAcentral lists this long non-coding RNA (641 nucleotides) under Capsella rubella. Its description in RNAcentral is "long non-coding RNA (CRUB_LNC002817)". The record is from RNAcentral. Lineage: Eukaryota; Viridiplantae; Streptophyta; Magnoliopsida; Brassicales; Brassicaceae.